GGUGAGAUGGCCGAGUUGGUCCAAGGCGCCAGAUUAAGGAUCCCUAUAUUUCUGGUCCGUUCGCGGGCGUGGGUUCGAAUCCCACUCUCAUCA
Cantharellus anzutake is the source of this 93-nucleotide non-coding RNA. Lineage: Eukaryota; Fungi; Basidiomycota; Agaricomycetes; Cantharellales; Hydnaceae. The record is from the annotation of a RefSeq genome assembly.